Molecule: ribosomal RNA, 520 nt
Filed under: uncultured Glomus
Lineage: Eukaryota; Fungi; Glomeromycota; Glomeromycetes; Glomerales; Glomeraceae
Description: SSU rRNA
Rfam family: Eukaryotic small subunit ribosomal RNA
Source: RNAcentral
AGCAGCCGCGGUAAUUCCAGCUCCAAUAGCGUAUAUUAAAGUUGUUGCAGUUAAAAAGCUCGUAGUUGAAUUUCGGGAUCAAUACGUCGGUCGUGCCUCUGGUAUGUACUGGUGUUAUUGAUUUCUCCUUUCUGAGGAACCAUGAUGUCAUUAAUUUGGUGUCGUGGGAAAUCAGGACUGUUACUUUGAAAAAAUUAGAGUGUUUAAAGCAGGCAUACGCUUGAAUACAUUAGCAUGGAAUAAUGAAAUAGGACGUUCGAACCUAUUUUGUUGGUUUCUAGGAUCAACGUAAUGAUUAAUAGGGAUAGUUGGGGGCAUUAGUAUUCAAUUGUCAGAGGUGAAAUUCUUGGAUUUAUUGAAGACUAACUACUGCGAAAGCAUUUGCCAAGGAUGUUUUCAUUAAUCAAGAACGAAAGUUAGGGGAUCGAAGACGAUCAGAUACCGUCGUAGUCUUAACCAUAAACUAUGCCGACUAGGGAUCGGAUGAUGUUAAUUUUUAAUGACUCAUUCGGCGCCUUAA